Molecule: long non-coding RNA, 675 nt
Filed under: Setaria viridis
Lineage: Eukaryota; Viridiplantae; Streptophyta; Magnoliopsida; Poales; Poaceae
Description: long non-coding RNA (SVIR_LNC004029)
Source: RNAcentral
CGGCCACCGUCGACCGCGCGCGAGAGGUCCGCCGCGCCGGCCGGCACUGGCGCUGGGAGUACCGCCUUGCUGACGCAAGCCCACCGGCUUGCGUCAGUAAGGGCUUUUUUUUAAGUUAGAAAAUAAAUAGGUAGUAAUUAGGUAGAAAUUCAAUAGAUUUUUGUAUAUGUGUUAGAAAAUCAAAUUAGUGUAAAUUAGUAGUAAUUAGUAGUAAUUAGGUUGGUCGCUCCGCCUAGGUUAGAAAUGAAUCGUGUUUCAUCGUGGUUCCGUCCUCGCCUCCGCCGUCCCGCCGCCCUGACCGCCGCCGUCACAACCUAGGCACCGUCCGUGGUUCCGUCCCCGCCUCCGCCCGCCGCCCUGGCCUCUGCAAAUUCAUGUUAUUGCUAGAAAUUCGUAAAAAUUCAUGUUAUUGCUAGAAAUUCGUACAAAUUCAUGUUAUUGCUAGAAAUUCGUAAAAAUUCAUGUUAUUGCUAGAAACUCGUACAAAAUUCAUGUUAUUGCUAGAAAUUCAUAAAAAUUCAUGUUAUUGCUAGAAAUUCAUAAAAAUUCAUGUUAUUGCUAGAAAUUCGUACAAAUUCAUGUUAUUGCUAGAAAUUCGUCACAAAGUACUACUAAUUUGUAGAAAUUUGUAUAAAUAUUCCGGACUUUGUAGGAUUCAUGUUAUUUUAUGAUUUC